This is a long non-coding RNA of Onthophagus taurus, 419 nucleotides long. RefSeq lists it as uncharacterized. NCBI's taxonomy places the organism in Eukaryota, Metazoa, Arthropoda, Insecta, Coleoptera, Scarabaeidae. The record is from RefSeq and is a predicted model, not a curated record.
CUUUAACAUAAGUCGAUAUCGCAAAAAAAGUAUCAAAAAUGAAGUUAAGUAUAACUAUUUUUUUGGUUUUUGCAAUUUUUGCAGCAAUCAUUGGUGCAACUCCAAAGCACGGCAAAGAAGAAAAGAGACUACUCGGUAUAGCGGAGGGUAUAAAGGAGAAAUUGUGCAAUAUAGUAUGUUCUGAUGUGAUGGCAUCUGAAUCCCCAUCUGAAGGGGGAGCAAGUGGUCCAAGCAAGAAACAUAAAAAGCACCACUAAUUAAAAUCAUGGUUGUAUUCAGUUUAUUGAAAAGUGUAGUGCAUGAAGUUUUAUUUUGGUAAUCAAUAUUGCAGCUUAUAGUUGUAUUCUUUGUGUUAAUUGUUUUGAAUUCAAUAUCUGUACGUUUCUUUUUUAAUAAAUGAAGACCACAAAUCAAAAUUA